This 441-nucleotide ribosomal RNA is filed under the name uncultured bacterium. Its description in RNAcentral is "bacterial SSU rRNA". It matches the Rfam family "Bacterial small subunit ribosomal RNA", at positions 29 to 491 of the family's 1533-position model. The record is from RNAcentral.
AACUAACGCUGGCGGCGCGUCUUAAACAUGCAAGUCGAACGGAUGUAGCAAUACAUUAGUGGCGAACGGGUGAGUAACACGUAGGUAAUCUACCUCUGAGUCUGGAACAACCUGAUGAAAAUCAGGCUAAUACUGGAUAGUAUUAAUUUGGCGAAUGUCGGAUUAAUUAAAGCAUUUAUGCGCUGAGAGAUGAGCCUGCGGCUGAUUAGCUAGUUGGCGGGGUAAAGGCCCACCAAGGCGACGAUCAGUAGCCGGCCUGAGAGGGUGAACGGCCACAUUGGGACUGAGACACGGCCCAGACUCCUACGGGAGGCAGCAGUAGGGAAUCUUGCGCAAUGGGCGAAAGCCUGACGCAGCAACGCCGCGUGCGGGAUGACGGCCUUCGUGGUUGUAACCGACUUUCACGCAGGGACGAAAAUAGACGGUACCUGCAGAAGAAGA